Non-coding RNA from Ceratotherium simum simum (southern white rhinoceros), 93 nucleotides. Lineage: Eukaryota; Metazoa; Chordata; Mammalia; Perissodactyla; Rhinocerotidae. The record is from RefSeq and is a predicted model, not a curated record.
UAAAUGUUGUGGAGGGUGUCCUGUCCAUUGUAGGAUGUGUAACAGCAUCCCUGGUUUCUACCCACUAGAUGCCAGCAACUUCCUCAGUCAUGA